This 952-nucleotide long non-coding RNA is filed under the name Homo sapiens (human). RNAcentral's name for it is "non-protein coding lnc-SPAG16-8:1". Lineage: Eukaryota; Metazoa; Chordata; Mammalia; Primates; Hominidae. The record is from RNAcentral.
UGAAGUGCUGGGAUUACAGGCAUGAGCCACCACAGCCAGCUGGAUUAUGAGUUUUUUUUAAAUUUUACUUUAAAACUUUCACACAUUUAAAAAAUAUAUAUAUAUACACAUACACACACACACACACACACACACACACACACACACACAUAUAUAUAGAAAAGAUUGUUUUUAUGAUAAUUUUUUUUAACAUCCUAAAGGUGAGGAUAUAGAAAUAGCAAGUGAUAAUUAUUCUUUGGUAAAACUUGUCUGUGAAAGGAAAUGGACUGAAAGCAUAGAAGCUACAGCUCAUUUAUAACCAAUCGAGAAGCAGGACAUGUCAAAUGCUGUACAGAGUCCUGCUACCUGGGAAGCUUCUGAUAAACGAGGGUUGCUAUUAUUAUUAUUGUCAUUAAAAUGUCUUCAGUUCUCAUAGACUUUCAGCACCAGCACACUGUCCAGGAGCACUGUCCAGAAUGUUCUCAAGAAGAAUUCUCUUUCUAGAACGCUCUCCUUUUUUAAAGUUUCUUCUCUUAUUUCCCGCUCCUUGGCUACUCAGUAGAGUUGUGCUGGUGCUGAAAGUCUACGAGACCUGAAGGCAUUUUAGUGGUAAUAAUAAUAAUAAUAGCAACCCCCGUUUAUUAGAAGCCUCCCAGGUAGCAGGACUCUGCACAGCAUUUUACACAGUGUGCUACUCCAUUGGUUAUAAAUAUGCUGUAGCUCCUAUGCUUUCAGUCCACUUUCUUCCACAGAAAAGUUUUGCCAAAGAAUAAUUAUCACUUGCUAUUCAAUAUCCUGACCUCCAGGAUGUUAAAAAAUGUUUAUCAUAAAAAUAAUCUUUUCUAUGUAAUUUUUAAAUGUGUAAAAAUUUAAAAUUAAAAAACUCAUAAUCCAACCGUCUAUACAUAUAAGCAUCUUGGUACAACUCUUUCUAAAAAUCAUCAUACAUAUCUAACACAUAGGUACAUAUUGU